CGGGUAAGUUCUUUCGUCAUUUUUCCAUUUUCCUCCCACUUUGCCUUCUUGUCAGUAAUGUUUGUCUCCUUCUCUCUGAUGCUUCUGCCUCUUUUGAUCAGCGUUUCCACUUCCAUCAAGGCCUUGUCUCUAAUCAUCUCACCCUUUGCUAUCAAUGAUGGGCAUGGACAAUCAGAGGCACCUGCUGUGAGUUUCCGUGAUGAUGGAAAUUCUUAUAACAAAUCUUUGGACCUUCAAUUCGAAAAACGACUUGAAGCAGUUAAAAGAUCAGCACUUGAGAAGAAAAAGGCAGACAUACAAAAAGAAUUUGGAGCAAUUGACUAUGAUGCACCAGUGAAAUCGGAAGAGAAAACCAUUGGACUUGGUACCAAGAUUGGAAUAGGUGUAGCUGUUUUGGUCUUUGGCUUGGUUUUUGCGCUCGGAGACUUUCUGCCCUCUGGAAGUAUCAGUCCUGUUAAGGAUUCUGUGGUGGAAGAUAUCAAACUAUCGAGAGAAGAAGCAAGUAAUCUUAAGAAUAUGCUCAAAGAAUACGAGCUUACACUUCGUAGCAACCCAAAAGAUCCAACUGCUAUGGAAGGUGCGGCAGUUGCCUCAGCUGAAUUAGGUGAAUAUGCACGAGCAGCUUCUUUGCUUGAAGACUUGAUAAAGGAGAAGUUAGAUGAUUCUGACAUUUUCCGCUUGCUUGGGGAAGUAAAAUAUAAACUAAAAGAUUAUGAUGGGAGUGUUGCGGCAUACAAGAGUGCCACAAUGUUAUCUGAAGAUGUCAAUUUUGAGGUUCUGCGUGGCCUUACAAAUGCAUUACUUGCUGCUGGGAAACAAGAUGAGGCUGUUCAAUUCCUUUUGGACUGUCGUGAACGUCUUAAAAGUUUAAAAUUAGGAAGUAUGGCUGAGGGCAAGGAGAUGGAAACAAAAUUAUCGAUUGAUCCUAUUCAAGUUGAGUUACUGCUUGGAAAAUCAUACUCAGAUUGGGGACAUGUUGGUGAUGCUAUAUCUGUUUAUGAUCAACUUAUCUCCAGCCACCCUGAUGACUUCCGUGGUUACUUAGCUAAGGGAAUUAUUCUGAAGGAAAAUGGUAGGUCUGGAGAUGCUGAGCGGAUGUUCAUCCAAGCCCGAUUCUUUGCUCCGGAGAAUGCCAAGAUGCUUGUAGACCGGUAUUCUAGAUGACCUUAGCAUCGCCUACAUUCCAUUUAUGAAAAUCUGAAGCACAACUGGAGAAGAUAAAAGGUGCUCAUCUCUAAAUGGAAGCAAAAAACAAUUCUCCAGUGAGCGGGUUGCUUGGGCCAUUUCCUUCCGCUAAAAUGGUCUUAUGGUUGCGUCAAUCACAUAAAAAUUUACCCAUUCAGCCCCAACAUGCUCAAAAAGGUUUUGUUGGUUAAUGCAUGUAUGGCGGAGUGUACACGUGAUAAAAUUCCUGCUACGUGUCUUAAGGUUACUUGAUGUACAGCAGGUGUAUUUGCUUUGCUGUGUAUAUAUAUUAAUUACCAAUGUUUUAUAAUU
Non-coding RNA from Benincasa hispida (wax gourd), 1497 nucleotides. Lineage: Eukaryota; Viridiplantae; Streptophyta; Magnoliopsida; Cucurbitales; Cucurbitaceae. The record is from RefSeq and is a predicted model, not a curated record.